GAUCCUAGCUCAGGAUGAACGCUAGCUACAGGCUUAACACAUGCAAGUCGAGGGGCAGCAUGGUCUUAGCUUGCUAAGGCCGAUGGCGACCGGCGCACGGGUGAGUAACGCGUAUCCAACCUGCCUUACACUCUUGGACAGCCUUCUGAAAGGGAGAUUAAUACAAGACGUUAUCAUGAGUAAGCAUUUUCGCAUGAUUAAAGGUUUACCGGUGUAAGAUGGGGAUGCGUUCCAUUAG
This 238-nucleotide ribosomal RNA is filed under the name uncultured bacterium. RNAcentral's name for it is "partial 16S ribosomal RNA". It matches the Rfam family "Bacterial small subunit ribosomal RNA", at positions 15 to 244 of the family's 1533-position model. The record is from RNAcentral.